Molecule: non-coding RNA, 277 nt
Organism: Pelobates cultripes (western spadefoot toad)
Lineage: Eukaryota; Metazoa; Chordata; Amphibia; Anura; Pelobatidae
Source: the annotation of a GenBank genome assembly
GGGGUGACUAGUGACAGAGUGAGGAAGGGGGUGACACAGUGACAGAGUGAGGGAGGGGGUGACUAGUGACAGAGUGAGGGAGGGGGUGACACAGUGACAGAGUGAAGGAGGUGGUGACUGUCACUAGUCACCCCCUUCCCUCCCUCACUCUGUCACUAGUCACCCCCUUCCCUCCCUCACUCUGUCACUAGUCACCCCUCCCUCUCUCUGUCACUAGUCACACCCUUCCUCACUGUCACUAGUCACCCCCUCCCUCUCUCUGUCACUAGUCACACCC